Molecule: small nuclear RNA, 258 nt
Filed under: Mus pahari (shrew mouse)
Lineage: Eukaryota; Metazoa; Chordata; Mammalia; Rodentia; Muridae
Description: sRNA (MGP_PahariEiJ_G0008406.1)
Rfam family: 7SK RNA
About the family: 7SK was discovered as an abundant small nuclear RNA in the mid-70s but a possible function has only recently been suggested.
Source: RNAcentral
GGAUAUGGGAGGAGAAUCUGGCUACAACAUCUGUCACCCCAUUGACCACCAGGGUUGAUUUACCUGACCUGGCUGGCUAGACAGGUGUCCCCUUCCACGUCACCAUUCCACGUAUGUGCAGCCUUCCUUCCAGAAGGUGCAUGCUCCAUUGAAGAGGGUGGUUUUUCCCAUAAGAAGACCAGUCUUCGGUCAAAAUCAUAAGAGUAGCCGCGCUCAAAAGCCCACACUAGACCCAGUCUGUCUCUUCUACCUGCUUAU